This 91-nucleotide transfer RNA is filed under the name Cotesia glomerata. RNAcentral's name for it is "tRNA-Tyr". It matches the Rfam family "tRNA". From Rfam's summary of the family: Transfer RNA (tRNA) molecules are approximately 80 nucleotides in length. Their secondary structure includes four short double-helical elements and three loops (D, anti-codon, and T loops). Lineage: Eukaryota; Metazoa; Arthropoda; Insecta; Hymenoptera; Braconidae. The record is from RNAcentral.
CCCUCGAUAGCUCAGUUGGUAGAGCGGUGGACUGUAGUCGGAAAUUAUGAAAGUUAUCCAUAGGUCGCUGGUUCAAAUCCGGCUCGAGGGA